RNAcentral lists this transfer RNA (73 nucleotides) under Pelodiscus sinensis (Chinese soft-shelled turtle). It matches the Rfam family "tRNA". From Rfam's summary of the family: Transfer RNA (tRNA) molecules are approximately 80 nucleotides in length. Their secondary structure includes four short double-helical elements and three loops (D, anti-codon, and T loops). Further hydrogen bonds mediate the characteristic L-shaped molecular structure. tRNAs have two regions of fundamental functional importance: the anti-codon, which is responsible for specific mRNA codon recognition, and the 3' end, to which the tRNAs corresponding amino acid is attached (by aminoacyl-tRNA synthetases). tRNAs cope with the degeneracy of the genetic code in two manners: having more than one tRNA (with a specific anti-codon) for a particular amino acid; and 'wobble' base-pairing, i.e. permitting non-standard base-pairing at the 3rd anti-codon position. The record is from Rfam by way of RNAcentral. Lineage: Eukaryota; Metazoa; Chordata; Testudines; Trionychidae.
GCUAAAGUAGCUCAGUGGGGAGAGUGUUAGACUGAAGAUUUAAAGGGCCCUGGUUCUAUCCCAGGCCUUGGAA